UGAAGACUAGAACAAAAGAUUACACGUUUUAAUUUAUAUCAAUAUUUAAACAUUCAAAUUUAUCUUAAAUGUAAAAAGACAUUUAUUUAAAAGAAAGACGACAAGACCCUAUUGAACUUAACUUAAGUUUAACUGGGGCAGUUAAUUAAUUAAUAUUUUAAUAUAAUUAACUUAAAACCAAUCCAAUAUAAUUGAAUUAAUCAAGUUACCAUAGGGAUAACAGCGUAAUAAAUUUUCAAAGAUCAUAUACAAAAAUAUGUUUGCGACCUCGAUGUUGAAUUAAUAACCUAAUUGGAGCAAAGACUAAAUUAGGAAGUCUGUUCGACUUUUAAAGAAUUACAUGAUUUGAGUUCAGACCGGUGUAAGCCAGGUCGGUUUCUAUCUUCUUACAAAUUUCUUAUAGUACGAAAGGGCCCAAGAAAAUAAUUUAAUUAUUAUAUUGGCAGACAAAUGCAUUAGAAUUAGAAUCUAAUAAAACUAACAUAUCAUUUAUUUUAUCAUAUCUAAUAAUUAUUGU
Molecule: ribosomal RNA, 517 nt
Filed under: Selenops gracilis
Lineage: Eukaryota; Metazoa; Arthropoda; Arachnida; Araneae; Selenopidae
Description: partial 16S ribosomal RNA
Rfam family: Bacterial large subunit ribosomal RNA (bases 92-387)
Source: RNAcentral